GUUAGCGUAGCACAAUCCGGCUAUGCAAAAGAUCUAAGCCCUUCUAAUAGAGGUUCAAAUCCUCUCGCUAACU
RNAcentral lists this transfer RNA (73 nucleotides) under Eleutherodactylus atkinsi (Atkin's robber frog). RNAcentral describes it as "tRNA-Leu". It matches the Rfam family "tRNA". From Rfam's summary of the family: Transfer RNA (tRNA) molecules are approximately 80 nucleotides in length. The record is from RNAcentral. Lineage: Eukaryota; Metazoa; Chordata; Amphibia; Anura; Eleutherodactylidae.